GUGGGUGUAGCUCAGUUGGUAGAGCACUGGAUUGUGGCUCCGGUUGUCGCGGGUUCAAGCCCCGUCACUCACCCCA
RNAcentral lists this transfer RNA (76 nucleotides) under Desulfuromonadales bacterium. RNAcentral's name for it is "tRNA-His". It matches the Rfam family "tRNA". Rfam says of the family: Transfer RNA (tRNA) molecules are approximately 80 nucleotides in length. Their secondary structure includes four short double-helical elements and three loops (D, anti-codon, and T loops). Lineage: Bacteria; Pseudomonadati; Thermodesulfobacteriota; Desulfuromonadia; Desulfuromonadales. The record is from RNAcentral. RNAcentral also lists the same sequence under 1 other name.